AAGUAACUAAUAAAAAUAACUCAGACAGAACAAUCGGAGAGAAAGAGUCUAACCAAAUACCAGCAUUAUUGAAAGCAGCCAAAGAUAACGAUAUGUCUUUGGGAUGGUUAGGAUGAGAAGAGUGGCAGGAGACAAGCUGAGGAGCAUCGACGUAUCAAAUAAGAUGAGAUCUUUAGACAAGUAGUGCACGUGCACCAGGAGACUGUGGAUUUGUAUUUGGAGGAUAUCAUCCUGGGAACAACUGACCACACAGGCGACCAACAGGCCAGAGAGGAAAUCCACAGGAUGGCAAGAGAGG
Molecule: long non-coding RNA, 298 nt
Organism: Thalassophryne amazonica
Lineage: Eukaryota; Metazoa; Chordata; Actinopteri; Batrachoidiformes; Batrachoididae
Exons: 2
Source: RefSeq, a predicted model, not a curated record